UGGGGAAUAUUGGACAAUGGGCGAAAGCCUGAUCCAGCCAUGCCGCGUGUGUGAAGAAGGCCUUUUGGUUGUAAAGCACUUUAAGUGGGGAGGAAAAGCUUAUGGUUAAUACCCAUAAGCCCUGACGUUACCCACAGAAUAAGCACCGGCUAACUCUGUGCCAGCAGCCGCGGUAAUACAGAGGGUGCAAGCGUUAAUCGGAAUUACUGGACGUAAAGCGCGCGUAGGUGGUUAUUUAAGUCAGAUGUGAAAGCCCCGGGCUUAACCUGGGAACUGCAUCUGAUACUGGAUAACUAGAGUAGGUGAGAGGGGAGUAGAAUUCCAGGUGUAGCGGUGAAAUGCGUAGAGAUCUGGAGGAAUACCGAUGGCGAAGGCAGCUCCCUGGCAUCAUACUGACACUGAGGUGCGAAAGCGUGGGUAGCAAACAGGAUUAGAUACCCUGGUAGUCCACGCCGUAAACGAUGUCUACCAGUCGUUGGGUCUUUUAAAGACUUAGUGACGCAGUUAACGCAAUAAGUAGACCGCCUGGGGAGUACGGCCGCAAGGUUA
This 549-nucleotide ribosomal RNA is filed under the name uncultured bacterium. RNAcentral describes it as "bacterial SSU rRNA". It matches the Rfam family "Bacterial small subunit ribosomal RNA", at positions 355 to 896 of the family's 1533-position model. The record is from RNAcentral.